RNAcentral lists this long non-coding RNA (503 nucleotides) under Malus domestica (apple). RNAcentral's name for it is "long non-coding RNA (MDOM_LNC017529)". Lineage: Eukaryota; Viridiplantae; Streptophyta; Magnoliopsida; Rosales; Rosaceae. The record is from RNAcentral.
GUUGUCUUGUGGUUAAGUCCUUGAUCUUUGAUUAUGUCAAAGUCACUCCAUUCGAGAGUGUCCACGGCAUAGUUGGGGUUAAGCCACUUAGCCAUGGAGGCGAGUGAAUGCGCAACAAGGGAUCUCUAACCUUCAAACCGUUUGAGGGAGAAUACUCUAUGAUAUGAUUAAGAAUCUCUGGCUAGAGUAUGAAUGAGAUUUAGGAAGUCGUUCCAAAUCACAUUCAAAGUAAUCAUAUAAGUAAAUGAAUCACAUUGGAUAGUAGACAUGAAUAAACUAUCAAUACAAACAAUGUGAUCAAGAGUAUUGUAUUAGAGAAAGACCGUAUUGCAUUGUAAUCCUAAACUGAAUAGGUUCUCCACCUCUUCUGAUUAGCUUGGGUAACCAUGACAUACUGCUAGGUGUCACUCAUGGUUUGUGGAAGCCCUAAACCUGUAUAAACACUAAAGGGAGAAUUGAAAGUAAGUUUCAAUUCACAAUCGAUUUGAAAGAGUUUUAAUCGC